GAUGAACGCUAGCGGCAGGCUUAACACAUGCAAGUCGAGGGGUAGAGGAAGCUUGCUUCCUUGAGACCGGCGCACGGGUGCGUAACGCGUAUGCAAUCUACCUUUUGCAGAGGGAUAGCCCAGAGAAAUUUGGAUUAAUACCUCAUAGUAUGUGAGGAUGGCAUCAUUUUCACAUUAAAGUCACAACGGCAAAAGAUGAGCAUGCGUCCCAUUAGCUAGUUGGUAAGGUAACGGCUUACCAAGGCUACGAUGGGUAGGGGUCCUGAGAGGGAGAUCCCCCACACUGGUACUGAGACACGGACCAGACUCCUACGGGAGGCAGCAGUGAGGAAUAUUGGACAAUGGGCGCAAGCCUGAUCCAGCCAUGCCGCGUGCAGGAUGACGGUCCUAUGGAUUGUAAACUGCUUUUGUACAGGAAGAAACACUGGUUCGUGAACCAGCUUGACGGU
RNAcentral lists this ribosomal RNA (449 nucleotides) under uncultured bacterium. RNAcentral's name for it is "bacterial SSU rRNA". It matches the Rfam family "Bacterial small subunit ribosomal RNA", at positions 28 to 476 of the family's 1533-position model. The record is from RNAcentral.